AACAGGAUUAGAUACCCUGGUAGUCCACGCCCUAAACGAUGCGAACUGGAUGUUGGGUGCAACUUGGCACGCAGUAUCGAAGCUAACGCGUUAAGUUCGCCGCCUGGGGAGUACGGUCGCAAGACUGAAACUCAAAGGAAUUGACGGGGGCCCGCACAAGCGGUGGAGUAUGUGGUUUAAUUCGAUGCAACGCGAAGAACCUUACCUGGUCUUGACAUCCACGGAACUCGGCAGAGAUGCCUUAGUGCCUUCGGGAACCGUGAGACAGGUGCUGCAUGGCUGUCGUCAGCUCGUGUUGUGAAAUGUUGGGUUAAGUCCCGCAACGAGCGCAACCCUUAUCCUUUGUUGCCAGCGAUUCGGUCGGGAACUCAAAGGAGACUGCCGGUGAUAAACCGGAGGAAGGUGGGGAUGACGUCAAGUCAUCAUGGCCCUUACGAGUAGGGCUACACACGUGCUACAAUGGCGCAUACAAAGAGAAGCGACCUCGCGAGAGCAAGCGGACCUCAUAAAGUGCGUCGUAGUCCGGAUCGGAGUCUGCAACUCGACUCCGUGAAGUCGGAAUCGCUAGUAAUCGUGGAUCAGAAUGCCACGGUGAAUACGUUCCCGGGCCUUGUACACACCGCCCGUCACACCAUGGGAGUGGGUUGCAAAAGAAGUAGGUAGCUUAACCUCCGGGAGGGCGCUUACCACUUUGUGAUUCAUGACUGGGGUGAAGUCGUAACAAGGUA
Molecule: ribosomal RNA, 728 nt
Filed under: uncultured bacterium
Lineage: Bacteria
Description: bacterial SSU rRNA
Rfam family: Bacterial small subunit ribosomal RNA
Source: RNAcentral